CCUACGGGGGGCAGCAGUCGAGAAUCAUUCACAAUGGGGGAAACCCUGAUGGGGCGACGCCGCGUGGGGGAAUGAAGGUCUUCGGAUUGUAAACCCCUGUCAUGUGGGAGCAAAUUAAAAAGAUAGUACCACAAGAGGAAGAGACGGCUAACUCUGUGCCAGCAGCCGCGGUAAUACAGAGGUCUCAAGCGUUGUUCGGAAUCACUGGGCGUAAGGCGUGCGUAGGCUGUUUCGUAAGUCGUGUGUGAAAGGCGCGGGCUCAACCCGCGGACGGCACAUGAUACUGCGAGACUAGAGUAAUGGAGGGGGAACCGGAAUUCUCGGUGUAGCAGUGAAAUGCGUAGAUAUCGAGAGGAACACUCGUGGCGAAGGCGGGUUCCUGGACAUUAACUGACGCUGAGGCACGAAGGCCAGGGGAGCGAAAGGGAUUAGAUACCCCAGUAGUC
RNAcentral lists this ribosomal RNA (446 nucleotides) under uncultured bacterium. RNAcentral's name for it is "partial 16S ribosomal RNA". It matches the Rfam family "Bacterial small subunit ribosomal RNA", at positions 338 to 795 of the family's 1533-position model. The record is from RNAcentral.